RNAcentral lists this ribosomal RNA (497 nucleotides) under uncultured bacterium. RNAcentral's name for it is "partial 16S ribosomal RNA". It matches the Rfam family "Bacterial small subunit ribosomal RNA", at positions 28 to 507 of the family's 1533-position model. The record is from RNAcentral.
GAUGAACGCUGGCGGCGUGCCUAAUACAUGCAAGUCGAGCGAACGGACGAGAAGCUUGCUUCUCUGAUGUUAGCGGCGGACGGGUGAGUAACACGUGGAUAACCUACCUAUAAGACUGGGAUAACUUCGGGAAACCGGAGCUAAUACCGGAUAAUAUUUUGAACCGCAUGGUUCAAAAGUGAAAGACGGUCUUGCUGUCACUUAUAGAUGGAUCCGCGCUGCAUUAGCUAGUUGGUAAGGUAACGGCUUACCAAGGCAACGAUGCAUAGCCGACCUGAGAGGGUGAUCGGCCACACUGGAAAUGAGACACGGUCCAGACUCCUACGGGAGGCAGCAGUAGGGAAUCUUCCGCAAUGGGCGAAAGCCUGACGGAGCAACGCCGCGUGAGUGAUGAAGGUCUUCGGAUCGUAAAACUCUGUUAUUAGGGAAGAACAUAUGUGUAAGUAACUGUGCACAUCUUGACGGUACCUAAUCAGAAAGCCACGGCUAACUACGUG